This 499-nucleotide ribosomal RNA is filed under the name uncultured bacterium. RNAcentral describes it as "partial 16S ribosomal RNA". It matches the Rfam family "Bacterial small subunit ribosomal RNA", at positions 29 to 523 of the family's 1533-position model. The record is from RNAcentral.
AUUGAACGCUGGCGGCAUGCCUUACACAUGCAAGUCGAACGGCAGCGCGGACUUCGGUCUGGCGGCGAGUGCGAACGGGUGAGUAAUACAUCGAAACGUACCCUGUUGUGGGGGAUAACUAGUCGAAAGAUUAGCUAAUACCGCAUAUGACCUGAGGGUGAAAGUGGGGGACCGCAAGGCCUCACGCAGCAGGAGCGGCCGAUGUCGGAGUAGCUAGUUGGCGGGGUAAAGGCCCACCACGGCGACGAGCAGUAGCGGGUCUGAGAGGACGAGCAGCCCCACGGGGACUGAGCCACGGCCCAGACUCCUACGGGAGGCAGCAGUGGGGAAUUUUGGACAAUGGGGGCAACCCGGAUCCAGCAAUGCCGCGUGUGUGAAGAAGGCCUUCGGGUUGUAAAGCACUUUUGUCCGGAAAGAAAUCGCGCUGGUUAAUACCUGGCGUGGAUGACGGUACCGGAAGAAUAAGCACCGGCUAACUACGUGCCAGCAGCCGCCGUAA